CACUCAACCUACUGAGCCACACCAUCCAGGGCUGUCAGGUGCCUCGGCCAUUGUCAGCCACUGUCUGUUUCGCCGCCAGUGCCAGCACCAUGAACCUGCUGCUGUCUUUCUUGAUCCUCCCUUGACUUCUCUGUCGCUUUUCCAGCAUUGGAGUAUCUUAGCAAUAUACAUGCUAUCUGCCUGAAGAACGUUUCAUAGAGGAAGGGAGAGGGAUAGAAAGUUAGAA
Long non-coding RNA from Myotis brandtii (Brandt's bat), 226 nucleotides. RefSeq lists it as uncharacterized. The transcript is spliced from 3 exons. Lineage: Eukaryota; Metazoa; Chordata; Mammalia; Chiroptera; Vespertilionidae. The record is from RefSeq and is a predicted model, not a curated record.